This 442-nucleotide ribosomal RNA is filed under the name Epiperipatus sp. MCZ 131427. Its description in RNAcentral is "partial 12S ribosomal RNA". Lineage: Eukaryota; Metazoa; Onychophora; Udeonychophora; Euonychophora; Peripatidae. The record is from RNAcentral.
UAUUAUAUAUUAAUUUUUACUGAAUAAAUUUAUUAUAAUAUAUUUACAUUAAAAAUGAAAUUUCUAAAAUUAAUAAUAAAAUAAUUUUAAUAAAAUUAGAUUAAAACCAGGAUUAGAUACCCUGUUAUUCUAAUAUUAGAAAUAAUAUUUCAAAAAAAAUGAAAUAGAUUUGACGGUAUUAAUUUUUCCAAAGGAAUUUGUUUCUUAAUCGAAAAUACACGAUAUACCUUACUUAAUAACAUAUUUGUAUACCACCGUAUAUGAAAUUAUAUUAAAAUAAAUUUCAAAAUAAAAUAUUUUAAAAAAUCAGGUCAAGGUGCAAUUUUAUUAAGAUGAAAUGAAUUACAUUGUUUAUAUUUUUAAAUAUAAAUGAAACUUUAUAUAAAUAGAAUUUGUUAGUAAAAUUUUAUUAUAAUGAUUAUUUGAUUUUAAUAUUAAUAUG